Molecule: long non-coding RNA, 493 nt
Organism: Pan paniscus (pygmy chimpanzee)
Lineage: Eukaryota; Metazoa; Chordata; Mammalia; Primates; Hominidae
Source: Ensembl
GUAAUCGCCUUUGAGGGAUUUCAGUUUCUUUUUUCUGCACAUUUUUUCUACACAGAUUCAUCGAUGCUGGAAGAGCAUAUGAAACACCUGGGUCAGAGACAAAUGGCUUUUUUCCUCAAAGUAGAGCAGAAAACACGAGCUCCAUGUUCACAGUGGUUUCUGACUAUACGGCCAAAUAAAAGUUGCAUACAGAAGUAAGAGGGAAGCUGAUGGAUGUGAGAAAUGAAUCCAACAUUCUGCAAGAAACCCACAUGGAGAAAGAGACGGUUUGAUCUUACUAUGUGCCGAUGCCAGCAACCUAGUAUAGAAGAUAUCAAGACUGAGAGGCUAAGGCCCAGCUUGAAGAGAUUUAACAAAGUAUGUACACACCACAAGUGACAUGAUGUAGAGAGAAGAUCAUCAGUAGUUUCCAAUUAAGAAAUCUCAAAGGGUUUCAGCCAACUAGUAACCUCUAUGUGACCUGGUGGAACUACUUACUGCUUUCUGCUGAAUU